AUUGAACGCUGGCGGCAGGCCUAACACAUGCAAGUCGAACGGUAACAGGAAGAAGCUUGCUUCUUUGCUGACGAGUGGCGGACGGGUGAGUAAUGUCUGGGAAACUGCCUGAUGGAGGGGGAUAACUACUGGAAACGGUAGCUAAUACCGCAUAACGUCGCAAGACCAAAGAGGGGGACCUUCGGGCCUCUUGCCAUCGGAUGUGCCCAGAUGGGAUUAGCUAGUAGGUGGGGUAACGGCUCACCUAGGCGACGAUCCCUAGCUGGUCUGAGAGGAUGACCAGCCCCCCGGGAAGUGAGACACGGCCCAGCCCCCUCGGGGAGGCGGCGGGGGGAAAUAUUGAACAAGGGGCGCAGGCCUGAUGCAGCCAUCCCGGGGGUAUGAAGAAGGCCUUCGGUUGGAAAAGUACUUUCGGCGGGGAGGAAGGGAUAAAAUUUAAUACCUUGGCUCAUUGAGGUUACCCGAAAAAGAAGCCCCGGCAACCCCGGUG
This 490-nucleotide ribosomal RNA is filed under the name uncultured bacterium. RNAcentral's name for it is "partial 16S ribosomal RNA". It matches the Rfam family "Bacterial small subunit ribosomal RNA", at positions 29 to 507 of the family's 1533-position model. The record is from RNAcentral.